Molecule: small nuclear RNA, 134 nt
Organism: Molossus molossus (Pallas's mastiff bat)
Lineage: Eukaryota; Metazoa; Chordata; Mammalia; Chiroptera; Molossidae
Product: U4 spliceosomal RNA
Exons: 1
Source: RefSeq, a predicted model, not a curated record
AGCUUUGCACAGUGGCAGUAUCAUAGCCAAUGAAGUUUAUCUGAGGCAUGGUUAUUGCUAAUUAAAAACAUGGUUUAGUGGUCUAAGCAGCCAAGGAGCCUCAGUAUAUCAUUAUUUUGCCUUUACCAAUGGUA